This 2433-nucleotide unclassified non-coding RNA is filed under the name Leishmania donovani. RNAcentral describes it as "gene:LdHU3.27.1100(CDS-product:hypothetical_prote in_conserved)". The record is from RNAcentral. Lineage: Eukaryota; Euglenozoa; Kinetoplastea; Trypanosomatida; Trypanosomatidae.
UGCACACGCUGACACACGGCAGUGGUCGUGUCGGUCCCUCCUCUUGCCCUCGCCGCCAAAGGAAUUCGGGGAUGCAGCGGCCGUCAUGGCAGAGCAGGCCGUCGUCCGCGCGGUUGAGUAUGGCAGGUGCUGGUGCCAUGCCGUCGGAGGCCGAUUUGGAUCGGCUGCGCAGCCGUCUUCACCAGUCCGGCGCCAUUGUAUCCUCUCGCUCUGUCGCGUCCAGGGCAGAUGCGAACUUCGACUUGGAGGUUGUCAACGUCGGUGAUGGACGGCGCGCCACCCCGGUAGAGCACUUGCUGGCGCGGCUGGAGCAGCACGGCCUACGUCGCCGACUGGUUGCCGAGGACGACGCCGCAGCGUACGCCGUGGAUGUAGCCGCACGCGCGGAUACGGAGGAAAACGCGGACGACGACAGCGACGAGACGCAUGCAUCAGGGGACGGCAACGCUGAGGACCCCAGGGCCGUAUCCUCUUGCUCCUCGGGUGAUGGGGCGUUCUCUUCCCCGGCGCCAUCUCAGGCCCCCGAAACGCGUGAAGCAUACUACUACCUCUGUGUUCCCUGUGAGCUCCGCCUCACUCGCAUCAGCCGCCGUCCGCCGCGCUGGCGCGCACUCGAGGACGUGCACUUCCAUUUCUCCUCUGCGGCGCACCGCGCCACCGCGUCGUGGAUGGCAGACGACGAUAUCGACGAGACGCUCCACUCCACGCCACUCAUCACGCCGACGAACUACUACAGCCGUAUCUACGUGAACGGCGUCCCAACACUCUUGUCACGCCGCCCGGGUGGGGGCGACAUGUUCUACCCACUGCCGCACGAGCAGGACCUUGUGGCCCCUUACAGCGCCGCGGCUGCGCGCGACGGCGAGCGUGUCGACUGUUGGCACGGCUCGCAGACGGUGUCAAACUCCUCAGGGGCGUCGGGCGCACUCGCCGGCAGGUUCUUUCCUUCCUCGACGCUACGAGGUGCGCAGGGCGGGGCACCUGUGUUGUGGCAUCGUGCACUUCCCAGUCUCUACACCAGAACGGUUCAGGUUGUACGCCGCGCGCGCUCCAGCUGUCUGGCCGAUUUGCCGGCAGACCGGCGAAGGUACCGUGUGGCCCGCAGGAGGUCGCGAGUUAUGGUAGGCGUCGACCAUUGCAGCCUCGACGAGUACCGCGAGCAAUCCUGGAUGCCGCUGCACAAGGUGCCGCUGUGGCUGGCGGUGUAUCGACUCCGCCGGGAGCGCGUUCCCAAGCCUCUGCUGGCCCGCCCCGAGUCCGCCGGCCCACAUGGACAGGCUGUGCCACUUCGGUGCAGCGAGUCCGCCGUGCGGGCAGCCCAGGCAGCUGAUGUGGCACAUCGGACAGUGUACACGCAGCCCUACCACCCAAUAGCGGAGGGCUCUCGAGACUAUCAAAGGCAAGGCGACGCCUUCACGGCAGCCGUCCCCGUGCCGACCACGGUCUUUGAGGAUGAGUGCUAUCGAGUCGCUCUCGUGUCCGCUGCGGAGCAGGCGCGCCACGAGGGCCUUUCCCACCCGGUGACCUCUCGACCGCUGAGCCGCUCCUUAUGUCCGGCCGACGUUGCGUCGGAGGAGAUCAAUCGCCCGGUGCUGACGCUUGAGCUACUCAUGCAGCACACCCAAUCCACUGCCCAGUCCUGGAGACCUGCCGUCGGGUCGAGCACCGCACUGAAUAGUUCCUUCGUGCCGACCACCGCGCCACCGUCACCCUCUCGUCGCAGCAGCAUCAGCCACCUCACCCGCAGUAGCAGUUCAGGCAGCACAUCAUCCUCGCCCUCGUUUGAGCACUCCAGCACGUCGAGGUCUUUAACUCACACCCGCAAACGGGUCAAGCGGGACGGCUGUCUGUGAGAUACGUAUCACGUUCCCACUAGCAAGGGCAAAUGCGCACGUAUGAGCAGAGGGAGGGCGGCUCGCUGCUUGGAUGGAUGAUGCGGCCCUCAUUCACAGUCCAUGCCUUGUUUUUAUCUCCCCUCCCCCUCCCCUCCACACGCACGCGUGCCUCGCUCCACGAACAAGAAACGAGCGCCUCUGCUGCAGCCAGCAGAGGGGGAGAAGGGGGCGGAGCACUGAGGAGGGGCUUCACCCCUCGUCUCCCUCCGGCAAGGAAAGCGGUUGAGUAAUGAAGGACACAAGACACGAAGCUCAUUGGAAAGGGCAGCGCCGUGGCAUCUCACGUUACGUUGUAUCCCUUUUGGGGGAGGAGAGCACCUGCGGCGGAAGUCUGCGUGGUGACCACAGCAACACCCUUUUCGCAGCCACUGAGUUCUAUGUACCUGUGUCUUAUUCGAGCGAUACCUCGCGCGAAGCCACACGCACGCAUUUUCCCGUCCCUUUUUGACGACCCCACCCCUUACCUUCGCCGUUUCUCGCUUCCUCCUCUGGCCGGCACACGCGCACGCACCAUCGGCAACGGAACAUGUCACACGAG